RNAcentral lists this ribosomal RNA (468 nucleotides) under uncultured bacterium. RNAcentral describes it as "partial 16S ribosomal RNA". It matches the Rfam family "Bacterial small subunit ribosomal RNA", at positions 28 to 507 of the family's 1533-position model. The record is from RNAcentral.
GACGAACGCUGGCGGCGUGCUUAACACAUGCGAGUCGAACGGAAAGGCCCUGCUUUUGUGGGGUGCUCGAGUGGCGAACGGGUGAGUAACACGUGAGUAACCUGCCCUUGACUUUGGGAUAACUUCAGGAAACUGGGGCUAAUACCGGAUAGGAGCUCCUGCUGCAUGGUGGGGGUUGGAAAGUUUCGGCGGUUGGGGAUGGACUCGCGGCUUAUCAGCUUGUUGGUGGGGUAGUGGCUUACCAAGGCUUUGACGGGUAGCCGGCCUGAGAGGGUGACCGGCCACAUUGGGACUGAGAUACGGCCCAGACUCCUACGGGAGGCAGUAGUGGGGAAUAUUGCACAAUGGGCGGAAGCCUGAUGCAGCAACGCCGCGUGCGGGAUGACGGCCUUCGGGUUGUAAACCGCUUUCGCCUGUGACGAAGCGUGAGUGACGGUAAUGGGUAAAGAAGCACCGGCUAACUACGUG